UUUUCAACUUUUUGUACUGAGGAAUUACAACCGUGUUUCGUGGUCUGCUACCACAACAGCUCCUUUAUAGGAUCCAGUUAGCUCAAGACAUCAUCAGGAGGAACCACGUCCGGUUUCCGCCCCUACUCUUCUACCGCUUUGACGUGGCGGGGCCCCCCCUUUCGAAGAUGUGUUCAGCUCUGGUGUUGGGUGCAUGUCUUCUUCUUCUUUCUUCUGUUCCCUGGCCUCU
Octopus sinensis (East Asian common octopus) is the source of this 229-nucleotide long non-coding RNA. RefSeq lists it as uncharacterized. The transcript is spliced from 3 exons. The record is from RefSeq and is a predicted model, not a curated record. NCBI's taxonomy places the organism in Eukaryota, Metazoa, Mollusca, Cephalopoda, Octopoda, Octopodidae.